RNAcentral lists this ribosomal RNA (465 nucleotides) under uncultured bacterium. Its description in RNAcentral is "partial 16S ribosomal RNA". It matches the Rfam family "Bacterial small subunit ribosomal RNA", at positions 338 to 795 of the family's 1533-position model. The record is from RNAcentral.
CCUACGGGAGGCAGCAGUGGGGAAUAUUGCGCAAUGGGCGAAAGCCUGACGCAGCGACGCCGCGUGAGGGAUGAAGGUCUUCGGAUCGUUAACCUCUGUCAGCAGGGAAGAACGGUCACUGUGCUAAUCAGCAGUGAAUUGACGGUACCUGCAAAGGAAGCACCGGCUAACUCCGUGCCAGCAGCCGCGGUAAUACGGAGGGUGCGAGCGUUAAUCGGAAUUACUGGGCGUAAAGCGCUCGUAGGCGGUAUGUCAAGUCAAGGGUGAAAUCCCCGCGCUCAACGUGGGAAGUGCCUUUGAAACUGGCAAACUGGAGUGUGUGAGAGGAUAGUGGAAUUCCAGGUGUAGGAGUGAAAUCCGUAGAUAUCUGGAGGAACAUCAGUGGCGAAGGCGACUAUCUGGCACAUAACUGACGCUGAGGAGCGAAAGCGUGGGUAGCAAACAGGAUUAGAUACCCUAGUAGUC